AGCGGCGGACGGGUGAGUAACGCGUAGGAAUCUACCUAGUAGUGGGGGACAACAUGUGGAAACGCAUGCUAAUACCGCAUACGCCCUAAGGGGGAAAGCAGGGGAUCUUCGGACCUUGCGCUAUUGGAUGAGCCUGCGUCGGAUUAGCUAGUUGGUGGGGUAAUGGCCUACCAAGGCAACGAUCCGUAGCUGGUCUGAGAGGAUGAUCAGCCACACUGGAACUGAGACACGGUCCAGACUCCUACGGGAGGCAGCAGUGGGGAAUAUUGGACAAUGGGCGCAAGCCUGAUCCAGCCAUGCCGCGUGUGUGAAGAAGGCUCUAGGGUUGUAAAGCACUUUCAGUAGGGAGGAAAAGUUGGUAGUUAAUAACUGCUAACCCUGACGUUACCUACAGAAGAAGCACCGGCAAACUCCGUGCCAGCAGCCGCGGUAAUACGGAGGGUGCGAGCGUUAAUCGGAAUUACUGGGCGUAAAGCGCGCGUAGGCGGUUUGAUAAGCUGAAUGUGAAAGCCCUGGGCUCAACCUGGGAAUUGCAUCCAGAACUGUCUGACUAGAGUACAGUAGAGGUGAGUGGAAUUUCCUGUGUAGCGGUGAAAUGCGUAGAUAUAGGAAGGAUCAUCAGUGGCGAAGCGACUCACUGGACUGAUACUGACGCUGAGUGCGAAAGCGUGGGGAGCAACAGAUAGAUACCCUGGUAGUCCACGCCGA
RNAcentral lists this ribosomal RNA (708 nucleotides) under uncultured bacterium. Its description in RNAcentral is "bacterial SSU rRNA". It matches the Rfam family "Bacterial small subunit ribosomal RNA", at positions 94 to 803 of the family's 1533-position model. The record is from RNAcentral.